GCCCAGGUGGUGGAACUGGUAGACACACCAUCUUGAGGGGGUGGCGCCGAAAGGUGUGCGGGUUCGAAUCCCGCCCUGGGCAC
This 83-nucleotide transfer RNA is filed under the name Myxococcus xanthus. Its description in RNAcentral is "tRNA-Leu". It matches the Rfam family "tRNA". Rfam says of the family: Transfer RNA (tRNA) molecules are approximately 80 nucleotides in length. Their secondary structure includes four short double-helical elements and three loops (D, anti-codon, and T loops). Further hydrogen bonds mediate the characteristic L-shaped molecular structure. tRNAs have two regions of fundamental functional importance: the anti-codon, which is responsible for specific mRNA codon recognition, and the 3' end, to which the tRNAs corresponding amino acid is attached (by aminoacyl-tRNA synthetases). tRNAs cope with the degeneracy of the genetic code in two manners: having more than one tRNA (with a specific anti-codon) for a particular amino acid; and 'wobble' base-pairing, i.e. permitting non-standard base-pairing at the 3rd anti-codon position. RNAcentral also lists the same sequence under 7 other names. The record is from RNAcentral. Lineage: Bacteria; Pseudomonadati; Myxococcota; Myxococcia; Myxococcales; Myxococcaceae.